CUACGUGCCAGCAGCCGCGGUAAUACGUAGGUCCCGAGCGUUGUCCGGAUUUAUUGGGCGUAAAGCGAGCGCAGGCGGUUAGAUAAGUCUGAAGUUAAAGGCUGUGGCUUAACCAUAGUACGCUUUGGAAACUGUUUAACUUGAGUGCAAGAGGGGAGAGUGGAAUUCCAUGUGUAGCGGUGAAAUGCGUAGAUAUAUGGAGGAACACCGGUGGCGAAAGCGGCUCUCUGGCUUGUAACUGACGCUGAGGCUCGAAAGCGUGGGGAGCAAACAGGAUUAGAUACCCUGGUAAUCCACGCCGUAAACGAUGAGUGCUAGGUGUUAGACCCUUUCCGGGGUUUAGUGCCGUAGCUAACGCAUUAAGCACUCCGCCUGGGGAGUACGACCGCAAGGUUGAAACUCAAAGGAAUUGACGGGGGCCCGCACAAGCGGUGGAGCAUGUGGUUCAAUUCGAAGCAACGCGAAGAACCUUACCAGGUCUUGACAUCCCUCUGACCGCUCUAGAGAUAGAGUUUUC
Molecule: ribosomal RNA, 517 nt
Filed under: uncultured bacterium
Lineage: Bacteria
Description: bacterial SSU rRNA
Rfam family: Bacterial small subunit ribosomal RNA
Source: RNAcentral